GAAAAAAGAAUUGGCCUUAACUGAUAGUAUUUGGAAAUUUUGGUCAUUAACCUCUCUCUUUUAUUGUAGGGGGUGAGGGGCAUUUGAUCUGCAACGGUUGAAUUUAAUUUAAUUUAAAUUUUGGUGAAAAAUUUGGAGUGAUGGAAGAUUGUCUUAAAAUCCUGUCAGAGAAAUGGAAUAUAUAUAAUAAUGAGAUUAGAGUAUUUGGUUAAUCAUUUCUAUAUGAAUAUUUUUGGGCUUGUCAGUUAAUCAUGUACUGGUUGAUGUACCUGGGAUGCAAUGCUUCUCUGGUAUGUUCCUGUGUGCUUAAGGUUGUUUCUUUUAUUAGUUAUCGGCACUUUUAAUAUCACAAGGGUGUUCCUUGCUAUUACUCUGUCUAACUUGGUUCUGGAAGGGAGAAUUUGAAGUCUUUCGCUUUAACAUAUUGAUGUGAAGUUGCUUCUUUUAAGACUUGAAGCUACAUCCUUGCUUUAAACUUAAUAUGGGGUGGCCUGGAGGUAAAGGCAGGAAAUUUCUCUGCACCACCCAGGUUUGAUUCCUGGCCUUGCAUGCUAGUAAGCCAAGGACAGGGCUCAUCACUCCAAGAUUUGCACAAAUCAAUCAUUUGGCUAGGAUUUCUGUUUUUUAAAAUAAAGAAAAGAAGGGAAAAGAUAGCUGCACCCUCCAAGAUUGCAUAACUUUGAACAUUUUUUUAACUUUUAUUUGUAUAAAAUUAGCUUUAAAAGAGUAAAUUAUAUGAAAUAUUCUUAAUGCCAUGCUCAUUAUUUGGAUGCAUUGGUAAUUCUAAGGUGUAGACACCCUUAUAAUUUAUAACCACCAAAAAAUGUGCACCAUUAUGUCUUCCUUGUAUCUUAAUUUUGAGAAUUAGAU
Molecule: unclassified non-coding RNA, 870 nt
Filed under: Hevea brasiliensis (rubber tree)
Lineage: Eukaryota; Viridiplantae; Streptophyta; Magnoliopsida; Malpighiales; Euphorbiaceae
Source: RNAcentral